Molecule: long non-coding RNA, 1278 nt
Filed under: Homo sapiens (human)
Lineage: Eukaryota; Metazoa; Chordata; Mammalia; Primates; Hominidae
Description: HSALNT0330316
Source: RNAcentral
ACCCUAACUUGUUGCGGCCAGGUCGGGCGACGGGAUGACCAAUCCCGACCGCGUCCUCAGGGCUCUUCGAACAGUAAUUGGGCACUGACUCGGGGAUGAAGGCGUGGCUCUUGAUUGGCUUUGACUCCUGCCUAUGAGACUGUGAGGAUCUCGUUUCCCUAGUAACAGAUCGGCACUAAGAGAGACCAAUAACCGAAAAGUACAAUAGAAAGGCAUGUGACCAGGGUCUCCCGCGGAGUUUUGCUGAGAAUUUUGGAAAUGAAGCAUGUGGAGCGCCUAUGUCGGGGGAGAGAGGCCGAGCUGAAGGAGCACGGGCGCCGGCCUCGGCCUCUGGGGAGCCGGGCCCGCUCGCCUCCCUGCGCGGGGCUAGCCCGAGCCUGGAACUCGGGAGGCCCAGGAGCGAAGUGAAAGCCCCUUCUGGUCCCCCAGGGCUCCACUCCCGCAGCAGCCCGGCUCCGUCGGCGUCAGUGGAGCCCCAGGCCUGGGUCCGAGAUGAGCGAGACGCUGCUCUGGCUCGCGGUCGCCCGAGCGCUCCCAAAACCAGGGAACAGGCCCCAGGAGAGAAGCCCCUAGAAGUUUCCUGGAGCAGGGAGUCUCCUGUAUCCUGUUAGCUCUGCAAAGGAAUCUGGACUUUAUUCUGAGGGCCUUGGAGAACCCCUGCAAAGUUUUUUAAAAGGCUGGAGUGCACUAGCAAGAUCACAGUUUACUUCAGUCUCAACCUCCUGGGUUCAAGUGAUCCUCCUACCUCAGCUUCCCAAGUAGCUGGGACCACAGUUGCCACCAAGGUGCUUGGUCCUUCCGAGGAAGCUAAGGCCACAUUGGGGUGAGGCCAUCACUUCAUCCAGUGACUAGCACCACCUCUGGCAAUGUCAGCCCCACACUCGCCCGCGCCAUGGCCUCCAUCUCCGAGCUUGCCUGUGUCUACUUGGCCCUCAUUCUGCACGAUGACGAGGUGAUCAUCAUGGAGGUUAAUAUCAAUACCCUCAUUAAAGCAGCCAGUGUAAAUGUUGAACCUUUUGGCCUGGCUUGUUUGGAAAGGCCCUGGCCAACGUCAACAUUGGAAGCCUCAUCUGCAAUGUAGGGGCUGGUGGACCUGCUCUAGCAGCUGGUGCUGCACCAGCAGGAGGUCCUGCCCCCUCCAUUGCUGCUGCUUCAGCUGAGGAGAAGAAAAUGGAAGCAAAGAAAGAAGAAUCUGAGGAGUCUGAUGAUGACAUGGGCUUUGGUCUUUUUACUAAACCUGUUUUAUAAUGUGUUCAAUAAAAAGCUGACUUUACUGCU